GACGAACGCUGGCGGCGCGCCUAACACAUGCAAGUCGAACGGAGCUGAGAGAAGCUUGCUUGUCUUAGCUUAGGGGCGAACGGGUGAGUAACGCGUGAGUAACCUGCCCUGGAGUGGGGGACAACAGGGGGAAACGACUGCUAAUACCGCAUAAGCCCACGAUCCGGCGUCGGAGUGGGGGAAAAGGGUUUAUUCGCGUCGGGAUGGACUCGCGUCCAAUUAGCUAGUUGGUGAGGUAACGGCCCACCAAGGCGACGAUGGGUAGCCGGACUGAUAGGCGGCCCGGUCACGUUGGGACUGCGGCCCGGCCCAGACUCGUACGCGAGGGAGCAGUGGGGGGUAUUGCACGCUGGGGGCAGACCUGACGCCGCGGCGCCGCGGGGAGGAAGAAGGUUUUCGGAUUGUAAUCUCGUGUCGUACGGGGCGAUAAUGACGGUACCUAACAAGAAAGCACCGGCUAACUACGUG
Molecule: ribosomal RNA, 468 nt
Filed under: uncultured bacterium
Lineage: Bacteria
Description: partial 16S ribosomal RNA
Rfam family: Bacterial small subunit ribosomal RNA
Source: RNAcentral